RNAcentral lists this ribosomal RNA (542 nucleotides) under uncultured bacterium. RNAcentral's name for it is "bacterial SSU rRNA". It matches the Rfam family "Bacterial small subunit ribosomal RNA", at positions 371 to 916 of the family's 1533-position model. The record is from RNAcentral.
AUGAACCAGUCUGACCAGCCAUGCCGCGUGCAGGAUGACUGCCCUACGGGUUGUAAACUGCUUUUAUACUGGAAAAAACCCCCCUACGUGUAGAGGUCUGACGGUACCCUAUGAAUAAGGAUCGGCUAACUCCGUGCCAGCAGCCGCGGUAAUACGGAGGAUGCAAGCGUUAUCCGGAUUUAUUGGGUUUAAAGGGUGCGCAGGCGGAACUGUAAGUCAGGGGUGAAAUCUUGCAGCUUAACUGUAAAAUUGCCUUUGAAACUGUUAUUCUUGAGUACAGUUGAGGUAGGCGGAAUGUGGUGUGUAGCGGUGAAAUGCUUAGAUAUGACACAGAACGCCGAUUGCGAAGGCAGCUUACUAAGCUGUAACUGACGCUCAUGCACGAAAGCGUGGGGAUCAAACAGGAUUAGAUACCCUGGUAGUCCACGCUGUAAACGAUGAUUACUGGUUGUUGGCGAUAUAUAGCCAGUGACUGAGCGAAAGCAUUAAGUAAUCCACCUGGGGAGUACGAUCGCAAGGUUGAAACUCAAAGGAAUUGACGG